ACAACCACAUCAUCUUGAAACGCUGGUUCCUGUACGAUCCUCAAAGUUAAGCAAUGUCAAGCCUGAUCAGUGCUUAGAUGAGUCACCACUUGGGAAUACCAGGUGCUGUAAG
Acanthosepion pharaonis is the source of this 112-nucleotide non-coding RNA. The record is from the annotation of a GenBank genome assembly. NCBI's taxonomy places the organism in Eukaryota, Metazoa, Mollusca, Cephalopoda, Sepiida, Sepiidae.